UCACUUUAGGAUGAGCCCGCGGCGCAUUAGCUAGUUGGUGGGGUAAAGGCCUACCAAGGCAAUGAUGCGUAGCCGAGUUGAGAGACUGAUCGGCCACAUUGGGACUGAGACACGGCCCAAACUCCUACGGGAGGCAGCAGUAGGGAAUCUUCCACAAUGGACGAAAGUCUGAUGGAGCAACGCCGCGUGAGUGAAGAAGGUCUUCGGAUCGUAAAGCUCUGUUGUUGGUGAAGAAGGAUAGAGGCAGUAACUGGUCUUUAUUUGACGGUAAUCAACCAGAAAGUCACGGCUAACUACGUGCCAGCAGCCGCGGUAAUACGUAGGUGGCAAGCGUUGUCCGGAUUUAUUGGGCGUAAAGCGAGCGCAGGCGGAAUGAUAAGUCUGAUGUGAAAGCCCACGGCUCAACCGUGGAACUGCAUCGGAAACUGUCAUUCUUGAGUGCAGAAGAGGAGAGUGGAACUCCAUGUGUAGCGGUGGAAUGCGUAGAUAU
RNAcentral lists this ribosomal RNA (490 nucleotides) under uncultured bacterium. RNAcentral describes it as "bacterial SSU rRNA". It matches the Rfam family "Bacterial small subunit ribosomal RNA", at positions 215 to 697 of the family's 1533-position model. The record is from RNAcentral.